Molecule: ribosomal RNA, 468 nt
Filed under: uncultured bacterium
Lineage: Bacteria
Description: partial 16S ribosomal RNA
Rfam family: Bacterial small subunit ribosomal RNA
Source: RNAcentral
GACGAACGCUGGCGGCGUGCUUAACACAUGCAAGUCGAACGGCAAGGCCCUGCUUUUGUGGGGUGCUCGAGUGGCGAACGGGUGAGUAACACGUGAGUAACCUGCCCUUGACUUUGGUAUAACUUCAGGAAACUGGGGCUACUACCGGAUAGCAGCUCCUGCUGCAUGGUGGGGGUUGGAACGUUUCGGCGGUUGGGGAUGGACUCGCGGCUUAUCAGCUUGUUGGUGGGGUAGUUGCUUACCAAGGCUUUGACGGGUAGCCGGCCUGUGAGGGUGACCGGCCACAAGGGGACUGCGAGACGGCCCAGACUCCUACGGGAGGCAGCAGUGGGGAAUAUUGCACAAUGGGCGGAAGCCGGAUGCAGCAACGCCGCGUGCGGGAUGACGGCCUGCGGGUUGUAAACCGCUUUCGCCUGUGACGAAGCGUGAGUGACGGUAAUGGGUAAAGAAGCACCGGCUAACUACGUG